This 5916-nucleotide small RNA is filed under the name Caenorhabditis elegans. Its description in RNAcentral is "Unclassified non-coding RNA F59H5.9". Lineage: Eukaryota; Metazoa; Nematoda; Chromadorea; Rhabditida; Rhabditidae. The record is from RNAcentral.
AAAGCUUGUCUCCUGAAAAUCAACACAGUCGAUGAGAUCAAAGCGGCCGUGGCUGGCAAGCUGUCCGACAUGGAUCCAACAGUCGUGGCGGCUCUUUUUUAAAGUCAUUGGCUCUUCACUGAUCACCGAGAUCGAAUCUUUUAUCUUUUUUUCUGUUAUGUUUUCUCUGUUGUUAUCAUGUUACCUGUUUUACUGAAAUUUUUUGAUAAAAUUAUGUUUUUGAACGAUUACUACUUUUCUUUUAAACAUUAGUUCGGAUCUUUUGAAUGCUUGACGUUCGAAAAUUAAGAUUGUCCGAUUUUGGCCUAUCUUGGAUUUUGUUUUUAAGCUUUCUUCGAAGCGAUAAAAUCGAUUAUUGAAAAAAAAACAUGAAUUUUUUCGUCGAACUACGGUAAGUGUCGCGGUGCCACCGCGAAGGGUGAUAACAACGAGAGACGCAGAGGCAGCAACGAGCAGCGCUCGUAUAAUUAUUAUUGAUCUCCCCCGUUUGACCUACCCGCCAAAUACUAAUUUCUCGCCCCUUUACUAUUUCGCAACCACCACCUAACCUUUCGAUUUGAAUAUUAUUCACUUCUUCCACCAACCACACCUAGGAGGUGGUUGUAUUCGGUUUAUACUCCGAUCAUAUGACCCUUUCACCAACUCAUUCUACUAAUUACUCAUCUUCCUUAAUAUUCACCACCACCGAUCGAUUAUUCUAAUAAAUAACUAUUGCGGAAAGCUAAAUCUUCGUCUUAAUCUAUCCGCAUCACUGGGGAAUAAUCUAUCGAGAUUAUUCCACUCCGAGGAGCUGUAUCGUAAAUCGUCACCUUCAAUAGGUGAACGACAUGGUGCAUCGACCGGAUGAUUCGAAGGAUCCGGACUGGCUCGAGUGGCAGGAGAGCCGACAAAAAUCGAUAAUUCAAGUGUCAGCGACACCGAUUCGGACAAAUCGAUGGAUUUUUUCGCCAAUUUCGUGGAAUUCCGAGCAAAAUGUGGAAGUUUGCACAGUUUCUCUGUGGUUUCAAGCGUGACUUGGAGUCAGCAUUGGUGUCCGUGGAGUGAGCGAUAAUGCGAAAAAUCCGAAAUGGCUCUAGUGGCAGGAGAGCCACAAAAAAUCGAUACUUCACGAUUCCAAAAGUUAUUUUUUCGAGUAAUUUGGAAACAAAAAUCGAUAAUUCUCACGGAACCGACAAUGGAAAAUGCGACAAUUUCUUCGUCCAAAUUGUAUUGGAAGGUCGUAUCAGCAAGUGGAAUCGGGCAAAACAAGGAUUUUUGCCGCUUUCAUGGAUUCUUCGAGAGGACACUGGUGUUCUCGCAAAGUUUCCGAGGAUUUCGAGCAACACUAUAGAGUUUUUGCAUCGAUUCGUGGAGUUGGUCGACUGGACAAGGAAUGGGUCGAGUGAAACUGGACGUUUCCCACACACUUCGUGGUUACAGUUUUUGAGGAUCAAGAGCAAACUUGGAGUUUGUGCCGUCGUGGAAGCAACGAUUUGACAAAGGAGGAGCGGUGAGAACUGGAGGUUCUCACCGGGAUCGGAGUCAACUUCCGGGACGGACGUGCGACAAACUACAGUCUGCGUGGAGAUGAGCAGCAAGAGUAGCUGAGUUUGAAAUGCUGAAUCAGCAAAGGUCGGGUGUAUACCGACGGAAGAGUCACCCAAAAGCCGAAAGUGGCGUUGUCGGGUGGCAAUGGGUUAAAUUUCACGCCCGGGGGUGACGGUAGGAGCUUUUAAGUGGCAGCAAGGACUGCCAAGCCCCACGUCAAAAAUAGUUUCAUUUAUGAAACAAACGUCCACUAGGGUUUAGUCAAUUCAAUUUAAAAGGGAUCCUCUAAUCUUUUUUAUAAAAAUUCCUUAAACUCUCUUUUCCAUAUAUGCCUUACUUAUCGAUCUCGCUUCAUGCUUUCUCUCUACACAGUGUUCUUGUCUCGCCAAAAAUUUUUUUUUAAAAUUUUUUUCAUGCGUUUCCUUUAUGAACACCUGUGGAGAGAACAUGAUACAAACCUGAUUCCAGUUACCAAUUUGAUCAAGCGUCGACAUUGAUUAAAAAGGAGCGGAAGAGGUCAGAAACCGAUAAUAUAGGAGCCCCCAAAAAUUAAAACUCUAAAUUCAAAAUCAAAAAUUAAUUAAAAUUUUUUUUCCUUAUCUUCCCCGCCUAAGGUAGUGUAGGGUCCCCAUAGUUUUCAGGUCAGGUACACGACGGAUUAGGCCCCAAAGUGUAUCUGCAUCACGCGGGUCAUAAAAAAUCAAUAAUUCAAUUCAGGUUUUAACAAUUUAAGUUUUAAGGUGGUAUAAUAUAGGGCAUGGCCUCACGUGCGGAACGUGGGAAGACGUUUGACUGCUGAUGACAGCCUUCUCCUAGGGAGAGCAUCAUGCGGCAGCGGCGUACCCGCCGGAGGGAAGGUGCUUAGCUAGGUCGGUAGCGGCGGCAGGCUUCCAAAGGCAAAAACACUCCAAAGGUCGGUUGCGAUACUCCGAGUAGAUCGGCAGCCGACGCUGCGGAAAAAACUGUCUAUAUUUCAAAUGAUGCUUAUACAUUAUAAGUAUCAACAAAAAAUUCAAUUUUCGUUUCCAAUAAUGCCGAAUGCAAUAAUUUGUGUAGUUCGAGCAUUCUUCAAUACAAUUUUCAUUCUAAUUUUCCAUUCAAAAUUCAAUUCAAGUCUUCAACAAAAGAAGCAAAUUCGCAUAUUUUAAAUUAAAAGUCUUCACAAAAGAAGCAAAUUUCAAAUGGUUAUCAAUUUUCAAGUUAACAAUAAUUCGUAGUACCAUAAUUCUAGGCUGCCUUAUAAUUUCCGUUUUUCGUGACAGUAACCUAACUCGUAGCUCCAAGUAGUACAAUUUUCUAAGCAUUCUCGUCGGCUACAGUAGUUUUUUAUCUAGAUAACAAUUCCAAUUUAAUCAAUAGUUCCCAUUUUUAAGCAGUUUUCCAAAAAAUCCCCAACUUCUCGUUGUAAAAUCACAUGUUUCCUCCAAGUAGUUAAUUUGAUUCCAAUUAAUUCUAAUGUAAAAAUUCACAAUUCAAUUGUAAGAAUUUCAACAAUUUAAUUAAAUCAAAAGAAGCAAUAACUGCUCAAAUCAAAAUUUUCCGGACAAUCUUAAUUUUUUUUUGACGGUGGAACUCGGAUUUUUGGAGCGAAGUCGUCGUGGAGCACAGAUUUUCGCAGAUGUCGACGCCAAAUGAGAAGGAAGUGCUGACAUUCAGCUAGAUGAUCAGGAUGUUUUCGUCUGGACAGUCGCCUUCUCGACAAAGGAAUCAUUCUUUCGAAUUUGGAAUUUUGCUGGAUGGAAAGUAUUUCGUCGUGUCGUUUCGUGGAAUUCAAAGAUGUAGUUGGAAGUUGGAUGUUCGGCAGGCAAAGGAUGAUAUCGAAAAAUCGAUGGAUUUAUCACCCGCCUUGGCUUGAAGAUGUGAUUGUGCUGGACGAUUUGUCAAUCAGACAGCAGCUUUCAAUGGAUAGAAGUCGUUUCGUGGAAUCGACAUUUUCCGCAUCAAAUCAAGGAGCAAAUCAAGACGAAUCUCUACAUGAUGAAUGUGACGAUGUUGGCGGAGUCACAAGGAGAAAUUCUUCAAUUGUACAAGAAUCAAGAGGAUUUUUCAUAUCCGGGUGGCUUUAUCGGGAUGCCACUGGUGAUGUCGAAAAGCGAGGACAAAGCCGACAAAUAGUGGAGCAGAAUCUACCAUUCCGAAGAUGGAGUUAAUUUCGUUGGAAUUGGCAUCGAAUGCAGAAGUCUACACAUUGCGAGAAGUUCAAAUUCCGGUAAAAAGAACAAAAAUUUUCCGAUUCAACGUGCACAAGUUAUGACUCCAGAAGACGAAGAGGAACAGUCGAAGAUGACAAGAAAUACGGAUGUCGUCGUGGAUCCGAGCACAUUUGCAACGUUCUGUACAAUUUGGUCCACUCAAAAUUCCUUUGAAUUUCGAGCCUUUUUUCCCCCGGAGUGUCGUGCUGUACGCACGAAGGGAUGGAUCAGGACGGUGCGCUCUGAGGAUCACCAGCAGCGGAGAUCGGAAGACGUCGUACAUCAGAGAAGCAGCAACGUCGGACGAUGGAGUUGGCUUCGGGACAUUCAGAGUCCGUUGGAUUUUGGAUCUUCGUCAACAGCAAGGAGGAGAAGUUCAGGAGGAAGAGCAGCGACCAGGAGAAGUUAUCGACCACGUCGAAAGACUUUCGGGAUUAGAAGGACAAGCUGAAAAGUUAUCGAUCACGUCGAAAGACGUUCGAGAGAAGGACAAGCUAUGAUCGCUGAUGUUGGAGUACCAGUGUCGGAGGAGCAAAGGAGCGUCGGAGCCAAGCAGUGUCGGAGGACAAGCCGCGUCAUUGGCGAGUGGGGUCCAGUUGAGAUCAUCCAAAUUCCUUCGGAAUUCGGAUCUUUUCUCAGGCGGAGUGUCGCGGUGCCACCGCGAAGGGUGAUAACAACGAGAGACGCAGAGGCAGUAACGAGCAGCGCUCGUAUAAUUAUUAUUGAUCUCCCCCGUUUGACCUACCCGCCAAAUACUAAUUUCUCGCCCCUUUACUAUUUCGCAACCACCACCUAACCUUUCGAUUUGAAUAUUAUUCACUUCUUCCACCAACCACACCUAGGAGGUGGUUGUAUUCGGUUUAUACUCCGAUCAUAUGACCCUUUCACCAACUCAUUCUACUAAUUACUCAUCUUCCUUAAUAUUCACCACCACCGAUCGAUUAUUCUAAUAAAUAACUAUUGCGGAAAGCUAAAUCUUCGUCUUAUUCUAUCCGCAUCACUGGGGAAUAAUCUAUCGAGAUUAUUCCACUCCUAGGAGCUGUAUCGUAAAUCGUCACCUUCAAUAGGUGAACGACAGUAAGCAAUGUGAGUACGCAAGUGCACACAAUGUACCGCAUUUGACGCGCAAAUCGAGUUUUGUGGUUUCUAAAAAUUUUCCUUGUUUCUCUCUGAUUUCUAAUUAAUAUUCUUGCCUUAAUAAUUAAUUGUCACUCAAAAAUAUUCCUAAUUUCAGCGCGAAUCUUCAAAGAAUGGUCCGUCCAACGAAGGAAUUUGUGCUUUCGCAUAUUUUCACGGAUGUAUCGAAGAUGGAGGAUGAAGAUUUUCUUCACAGUCCCGUAGAAGAAUAUUUCAAUGUUCCAUGGUUAUUUUUUUUUGUGGUUAGUGAAGAAUAAAAAAAAAAAGUAAAUUCAGGAAGCUGUCAAUUGCUCGCAAGGAAGAUCACUUGGGAAUUAUCCUUUUUUGUAAGAAAUUGAAAGUAAAAGAGACCGCGUGGAUCAUUGAUACUGAAUUCGAAUUCAAACUGAAAACUUCGAGAGGGAAAGUGUAUGGGGGAGAUGAGAAAUUUGAGUUUGAAUUUACAAAUGAGCCCAAAACUGGCCGUGGACAGUGGAAUUUUAUUCGUUGGGACAAAUUGAUAAACGACUACCUAAUCGAUGAUGUUGUCACUGUUGAAGCCGCUGUGAAGAUCAUCAAGACGACUGGAAUCUCGAAGAAAGCGCUCAAAAGCUUUGAAAAAUCGAAUGAAGCAUUUUCCGAUGUGGUUCUCGCGGUCGGAGACAAAAAGUUUUUCGUGCUCAGAAAGGUGCAAUUUUUCUAAAUUUUAAAACAUAAAUUUCAUGACUUGUUCCAGUUCCUCGCCUCACACUCUACAUACUUCGAAUCACUUUUUUUCGGAAAAUUCGCAGAAUCUGACAAGGAAGAAGUUACACUUCAAGGCAUUGAUUCCACCGAUUUUUAGAAUCUUCUAGAGGUUCUGUAUGGUGAACCCGCUAUUGACGGUAUAAAAAUCUAUAAAUUUUCAAAUAAUCAGUUUAUUGUUCAGAUAAUACUAUCGAUGGAAUGCUCCUCCUCGCCCACAUGUACGAUAUGGCUCUUCCAAUCCGAAAAUGCGAAGAGUUUCUGAUCGAAGAAUCUGAAAAGUCGAUGAAGGAUCAACUCAAAAUCGCAAAACAAUACCAAUUGGAGAAUUUGAAGG